GCAAACUUGGUCAUUUAGAGGAAGUAAAAGUCGUAACAAGGUUUCCGUAGGUGAACCUGCGGAAGGAUCAUUAAAAGAAGCUGGGCGCUCGCGCCCGACCUUCUCACCACUGCGUACGAAAUUCAGUUGCCUCGGCCGCUCGUCGGCCGAAGGAAAGCCAAACCAACUCGUUUGAAUACCGUCACGAAACAUCGCGAAUGCGAAAGUACAACUUUUAACAAUGGAUCUCUUGGCUCCGGCAUCGAUGAAGAACGCAGC
This 258-nucleotide unclassified non-coding RNA is filed under the name uncultured fungus. RNAcentral describes it as "partial contains small subunit ribosomal RNA, internal transcribed spacer 1, and 5.8S ribosomal RNA". The stretch from base 1 to 73 matches the Rfam family "Eukaryotic small subunit ribosomal RNA", at positions 1759 to 1831 of the family's 1831-position model. Lineage: Eukaryota; Fungi. The record is from RNAcentral.